CAGCCGCCGCGGGAAUACGAAGGUCCCGAGCGUCGUUCGGAAUCACUGGGCGUAAAGGGAGCGUAGGCGGCGUGGUAAGUCAGAUGUGAAAUCCCGGGGCUCAACCCCGGAACUGCAUCCGAUACUGCCAUGCUAGAGGAUUGGAGAGGUAGCUGGAAUUCUUGGUGUAGCAGUGAAAUGCGUGGAGAUCAAGAGGAACACUCGUGGCGAAAGCGAGCUACUGGACAAUAACUGACGCUGAGGCUCGAAGGCCAGGGUAGCGAAAGGGAUUAGAUACCCCCGUAGUCCCUGUCUCUUAUAC
Molecule: ribosomal RNA, 301 nt
Filed under: uncultured bacterium
Lineage: Bacteria
Description: partial 16S ribosomal RNA
Rfam family: Bacterial small subunit ribosomal RNA
Source: RNAcentral